This 466-nucleotide ribosomal RNA is filed under the name uncultured bacterium. RNAcentral describes it as "partial 16S ribosomal RNA". It matches the Rfam family "Bacterial small subunit ribosomal RNA", at positions 28 to 507 of the family's 1533-position model. The record is from RNAcentral.
GACGAACGCUGGCGGCGUGCUUAACACAUGCAAGUCGAACGGAAAGGCCCUGCUUGCAGGGUACUCGAGUGGCGAACGGGUGAGUAACCCGUGGGUGAUCUGCCCUGCACUUCGGGAUAAGCUUUGGAAACUGGGUCUAAUACCGGAUAGGAGCCAUCUUUAGUGUGGUGGUUGGAAAGUUUUUUCGGUGUAGGAUGAGCUCGCGGCCUAUCAGCUUGUUGGUGGGGUAAUGGCCUACCAAGGCGGCGACGGGUAGCCGGCCUGAGAGGGUGUACGGGCACAUUGGGACUGAGAUACGGCCCAGACUCCUACGGGAGGCAGCAGUGGGGAAUAUUGCACAAGGGGCGCAAGCCUGAUGCAGCGACGCCGCGUGGGGGAUGAAGGCCUUCGGGUUGUAAACUCCUUGCGCUAGGGACGAAGCUUUGUUGUGACGGUACCUAGAUAAGAAGCACCGGCUAACUACGUG